Molecule: non-coding RNA, 1050 nt
Organism: Acyrthosiphon pisum (pea aphid)
Lineage: Eukaryota; Metazoa; Arthropoda; Insecta; Hemiptera; Aphididae
Source: Rfam
UCCCUGGUUGAUCCUGCCAGUAGUCAUAUGCUUGUCUCAAAGAUUAAGCCAUGCAUGUCUCAGUGCAAGCCGCAUUAAGGUGAAACCGCGAAAGGCUCAUUAAAUCAGUUGUGGUUCCUUAGAUCGUACCCAAGUUACUUGGAUAACUGUGGUAAUUCUAGAGCUAAUACAUGCCGAUAGAGUUCCGACCGUCGCGGCGCCCUCGGGCGUCGCUCGCGGGAGGAACGCUUUUAUUAGAUCAAAACCGGCCCGUCGCGGCGCGCUUCGUGCGCGUCCCGAUCGCGGCCCGCGCAAAGACCUGGUGACUCUGAAUAACUUCGAGCUGAUCGCACGGUCUCCGUACCGGCGACGCAUCUUUCAAAUGUCUGCCUUAUCAACUGUCGAUGGUAGGUUCCAUGCCUACCAUGGUGGUAACGGGUAACGGGGAAUCAGGGUUCGAUUCCGGAGAGGGAGCCUGAGAAACGGCUACCACAUCCAAGGAAGGCAGCAGGCGCGCAAAUUACCCACUCCCGGAACGGGGAGGUAGUGACGAAAAAUAACGAUACGGGACUCAUCCGAGGCCCCGUAAUCGGAAUGAGAACACUUUAAAACCUUUAAACGAGGAUCAAUUGGAGGGCAAGUCUGGUGCCAGCAGCCGCGGUAAUUCCAGCUCCAAUAGCGUAUAUUAAAGUUGUUGCGGUUAAAAAGCUCGUAGUCGGAUCUGUGUCUGGACGGUGCUGGACCACCCUGGCGGUCCGUCGUGUCGCGGCCGGCCGUGUCGCGGGACCACGUGUCCCGUCGGCGCGGUCGCCCGUCGCGCUCGUCAGCCGUCUCGGGGUGUUAGUUACCGGGCACGUCGGGCCGGGACGUAUUGUCGGCAGGCGGACACGUGUCUCGUGCUUUCCGGCGCGCCGCGCGGCCACGCGUCGCGCGGUCGUCGGUGUUCGACGAACUGGCGGCCGCCUACUCCAAUCUUGCUGCGCGGUGCUCUUCACCGAGUGCCGUCGGCGGGCCGACACGUUUACUUUGAACAAAUUAGAGUGCUCAAAGCAGGCUCGAAUCUGGCGGGGC